CGUAUUUUAAGCUAUUCAAAACACUCGAACUUGCGUUUUAUCAUAUCUAAAACACUCAUUCUCGUGUUUUAAAUACUACUUCACAAUCAAUAGGUUGUAAUUAUAUAGAGAAUAAUACAUGGGUGCGCGGAAAUACCAGAUUUAUUUCGAGUGUUGAACAUGAUAUCUCACGAGUGAACACGAGAAAUAAAUCUGGUAUUUCCAAGCACCCAUGUAUUUUUCUGUUUAUUAUAUAAAGGACAGCCUUUGAAAAGCGAUAAUUUUUACAGAAAAGCGAUAAAUGAAAAGCGAUAAUUUUCACAUGUGAGAUUACAUGAAUAAUCUCACAUGUGAGAUUAUCACUUUUAUCAGUGCUCGAAAUCUCUUUCAAAAACUCAUUAAUAAUUCAUGAGGAAAACACAAAGAGAAAUCAUGAGCGUGGCGUGUCUUUAUAUGUGAUAAAACACGCUUCAAAUUUCAACUUGUAUUUUCUCAGCUAAUACAAAGUUAUUUUGGAAAAUUAUUUCGCCAAUGCCGUGAUCUAACUGAGACGUUUUUGAAGCUGUUUAAUAAACUCGUAGUUCGUGUUUUAUCACAUAUAAAACACUCCGCUACGCGUCGUGUUUUAUAUGUGAUAAAACACUCCUACUCGUUUAUUAAACAUUACAUAAAGCACUAUACUUUAUAUAAUAAAUUGCAUGCUGUUCUUAAUUGUAAAUAUAUUUUAUCGACUUGGAGUUAAAUAUAAACAUUUAUUGUUUUGUAAGUUGUUUUUUAACGUGAAUUAAUUGAUUUUUUCUCCUUAUUUUAUGUUGGUUCACGUGACAUCGAGUGCAUUUGUUACCUACUGGAUGGACGUGUUGUGAUGUGCCAUGAAGAGAGUACGUGCCAACCAUGAUGGAACCAUCAACAGAAUGACGAACCGUGACCAACAGAAGCAAAAUGCAAAGAUGUAAAUGUAAGUUUUGUCGAUGCAAUUGUGUUGGAAAUAACGUAAUAUAUAUUAGGCAAGACUUUUUUAUUUAUUCGUUUAUGGAUUUGACUUUAAAAAACCCAGGUAGGUUGGUCGGAAAAUGUUUUUUAAAACACACUGAGUAUAUUUAAAAUCGAUGUUUUUAUCUUCUAAACAUUUAAUUUCCACUUGGAAAAACAUGGCUAAUCUCCAUAUUGAUUGUCACAACGAUAACAUGAGCCAGCAGUACUUAGAGUCGAAGUUUACUUGACCUGUACUUCAUGUAAGAACCCCCGAAUUAACUAAAACUUGACAUCCAAUUUCUUUUAUUUUUCACUCUCUGAAUAUUUACGGUCAGCGGAUCCGUAAACCAAUGAAUAAAAAAAUUCUCGCCUUACUCACUUUAAUUGCCACAUCCAUUUGUCUUACUCAGUUGUACUUUUAAUUCUUUGAGAUUGGCCACACCUUUUUAUGCACCUAUGCAAUUUUCAUUUUAGCAUUUAAUAUUAUUUUGCAUGUCCUAUCCUUACGUAUAAUAACUAAAUGUUUUCAAGCACAUCCUCCUUACGGAUAUUUAAUGUAUUAUCUAAUGGAAAUGUUCUUUCAUUUAAAAAAAGAUGUGAUGAGGUGUGAAGAAGAAUCCAGCCAGAAGACAGUGGAACGAUCAGGUGCAACGAGGAACGACCACUAGAUGAAUGCCUACAUUUACAACCAACAGAUCCAACAACAUUGCCAAGAUGAGAG
Paramuricea clavata is the source of this 1675-nucleotide non-coding RNA. NCBI's taxonomy places the organism in Eukaryota, Metazoa, Cnidaria, Anthozoa, Malacalcyonacea, Plexauridae. The record is from the annotation of a GenBank genome assembly.